Molecule: ribosomal RNA, 425 nt
Filed under: uncultured bacterium
Lineage: Bacteria
Description: bacterial SSU rRNA
Rfam family: Bacterial small subunit ribosomal RNA
Source: RNAcentral
GUGGGGAAUAUUGCACAAUGGAGGAAACUCUGAUGCAGCGACGCCGCGUGAGGGAAGAAGGUCUUCGGAUUGUAAACCUCUGUCUUCAGGGACGAUAAUGACGGUACCUGAGGAGGAAGCCACGGCUAACUACGUGCCAGCAGCCGCGGUAAAACGUAGGUGGCAAGCGUUGUCCGGAAUUACUGGGUGUAAAGGGAGUGCAGGCGGGACGGCAAGUUGGAAGUGAAACCCAUGGGCUUAACCCAUGAACUGCUUUCAAAACUGUCGUUCUUGAGUGGUGCAGAGGUAGGCGGAAUUCCCGGUGUAGCGGUGGAAUGCGUAGAUAUCGGGAGGAACACCAGUGGCGAAGGCGGCCUACUGGGCACUAACUGACGCUGAGGCUCGAAAGCAUGGGUAGCAAACAGGAUUAGAUACCCCGGUAGUCC